Molecule: ribosomal RNA, 468 nt
Filed under: uncultured bacterium
Lineage: Bacteria
Description: partial 16S ribosomal RNA
Rfam family: Bacterial small subunit ribosomal RNA
Source: RNAcentral
GACGAACGCUGGCGGCGUGCUUAACACAUGCAAGUCGAACGGAAAGGCCCUGCUUUUGUGGGGUGCUCGGGUGGCGAACGGGUGAGUAACACGUGAGUAACCUGCCCUUGACUUUGGGAUAACUUCAGGAAACUGGGGCUAAUACCGGAUAGGAGCUCCUGCUGCAUGGUGGGGGUUGGAAAGUUUCGGCGGUUGGGGAUGGACUCGCGGCUUGUCAGCUUGUUGGUGGGGUAGUGGCUUACCAAGGCUUUGACGGGUAGCCGGCCUGAGAGGGUGACCGGCCACAUUGGGACUGAGAUACGGCCCAGACUCCUACGGGAGGCAGCAGUGGGGAAUAUUGCACAAUGGGCGGAAGCCUGAUGCAGCAACGCCGCGUGCGGGAUGACGGCCUUCGGGUUGUAAACCGCUUUCGCCUGUGACGAAGCGUGAGUGACGGUAAUGGGUAAAGAAGCACCGGCUAACUACGUG